GCCUCUACAGCAUUUUCAUACUUCCUUAGAGCCACACAGCUUCAUGGCCUACCAUCUACAAGCUAGAGCCACACAGCUUCAUGGCCUACCAUCUAGGGUAAGGGUGGAUCAGGGGGUUGAGAACCUGGACACGAGGAACUGGAUGAAUGAGCUUUAUCUCAGGAAAAAGUGUCCAUAAUCAGAGGGUGGAGAGACUGUGGCGGGAUGUCUGGGUUAGCAAGUACCAUGAUGUUCUCCACUCUCUGAAGGAAGACGGCUGGCU
Long non-coding RNA from Alosa sapidissima (American shad), 262 nucleotides. RefSeq lists it as uncharacterized. NCBI's taxonomy places the organism in Eukaryota, Metazoa, Chordata, Actinopteri, Clupeiformes, Clupeidae. The record is from RefSeq and is a predicted model, not a curated record. The transcript is spliced from 3 exons.